Episyrphus balteatus (marmalade hoverfly) is the source of this 494-nucleotide long non-coding RNA. RefSeq lists it as uncharacterized. The transcript has 2 exons. The record is from RefSeq and is a predicted model, not a curated record. Lineage: Eukaryota; Metazoa; Arthropoda; Insecta; Diptera; Syrphidae.
CCGGUUUGUUCAGAGUGGGUUAAAUCCUCAAUUUGAUAACCACCGAUUCCCCUUAAUUCAUAAUUAAGGAUCCGUGAUAAUCAAAGAACGUUUGUUCACUUUUUUUUCACCUUGAUUAACAAAUCAUGGAUUUUCUUCAAAUCGUUCCAUUUUCCAGUUUUGUUGUCAAAACUUAAUCAAGAAUUAAGUUUUUUUUUUUAUUUUGCUGACGUUUGUGACAUUUUGUUUGUUUAUUUUAAUUUAAAAAGAGCGUUUGCAGUUAGGAAGAAAUAUGUUAUAAUGUCAAGCCCAAAAGAAUUUCUCCAAGGCUUAAGAAAAAAAACUGUUGCAUAAAAAAUACAUUUUCGAGAAAGGAUGCAGCUUGAGAGGCAUUUUUGUACAUAGCUGAAGACAAUUUCAAUUACAUAUUUUUAUUUUGUUUUUGUGAAUUGCAAUAAGGAAACGAUCCAAUCACAAAAUAUAUUCUACAAUUUCAAUAAAUAUUUUAUUAUUAA